Molecule: ribosomal RNA, 496 nt
Filed under: uncultured bacterium
Lineage: Bacteria
Description: bacterial SSU rRNA
Rfam family: Bacterial small subunit ribosomal RNA
Source: RNAcentral
GACGAACGCUGGCGGCGUGCUUAACACAUGCAAGUCGAACGGUGACGAGGAGCUUGCUCCUCCGAUCAGUGGCGAACGGGUGAGUAACACGUGAGCAACCUGCCCCUCACUCUGGGAUAACAGUUGGAAACAGCUGCUAAUACCGGAUACGACACAGACAGGCAUCUGUACUGUGUGGAAAGUUUUUCGGUGAGGGAUGGGCUCGCGGCCUAUCAGUUUGUUGGUGGGGUAAUGGCCUACCAAGACGACGACGGGUAGCCGGCCUGAGAGGGCGACCGGCCAACGACUGGGACUGAGACACGGCCCAGACUCCUACGGGAGGCAGCAGUGGGGAAUAUUGGACAAUGGGCGAAAGCCUGAUCCAGCAAUGCGCGUGAGUGAUGAAGGCCCUAGGGUUGUAAAGGCACUUUUGGCGGGAACGAAACGGCGCUUCUAAUACAGAGUGCUAAUGACGGUACCGCAGAAUAAGCACCGGCUAACUACGUGCCAGCAGCCG